Molecule: long non-coding RNA, 3128 nt
Filed under: Vigna radiata
Lineage: Eukaryota; Viridiplantae; Streptophyta; Magnoliopsida; Fabales; Fabaceae
Description: long non-coding RNA (VRAD_LNC007724)
Source: RNAcentral
CCUUAACCAAUUCGAAAGCCGAUUAAAAGUUUUAUAAAUGUAAAUCUUACUUUGAAAGGCAACCUCAACGAAAAACAAUCACAAACAAAAAAACUACAGCAUGAUGACAACUACCACUGUAAGGUAAGGGGAAGGUCGGUCGGACAAGUUUGGAAGGGAGUGAAGCCAUAAGAGGAAGGGAUGGCAAAGGGAAGGGAUGGCAUAGGGAGGAAAGUAAGUGAGUAGCUUGUGGGGAAUGCAGAUAAACGACCGGGAAGUUUAUGAAGCCGGUUGGUAUGGACGUUGGGACGAACGCGAGUGUCAGUUGACAAGGCAAGCACGUGGAGGGAUCUCAGAUAUAUCAGGGAUGCAGAUUUCUCGGCCAUGAUCGUAACGACGCUAAUUAGUGGGCGAGAAAUCCGGGAUUGACGAAUCAACUGUUACAGGUAGUUAAUGACUUUUAACUGGCUGAGGCCUAUAAAUACAGAGAUAUGCUAGGUAUAAUUUCCUUAAGUAAUAUGUAUUGUGGUUAAUCUGAAGGUGACUUUGCUGACUUGAGCGUCGGAGUGCUAACUUGCAGGUCAAGUCCGAUCGGUGGUGAAGCAGGGAAGUUCGGAGAGGAGAGGAGAAGGAGCAGCAGGGGUUGUGUUUAAUCUCUGGUCUCAUAUCCGAAACAUCCUUCUGGGAUUGCUUAAGAGAGGAAACAUCCUUCUGGGAUUGGUUAAGUUUCUUGUCCGCUACAGCUCGGGCAUCUUCAGCGACUUUGUUUAAUUCUUCUAUACAAAGAGUGAGAGCAACGUUCUCCUUUUUUAUAGCUUCUAGACUUUUGGUGGCAGAUUCCAGCUCGGAUACAAGAAGGGGCUUAGUUGUCCCUGCAGUAUAGUUCAGGCACACACUGGCUCGAGCUAAAAGUUCAUAAGCCAUGUUCAAGGAUUCACUAGGCGUCAUGCCUUUGAAGGGUUUUUUCUCUUCAGCAGAUAAGUUGAAUUGUAGCCGGUCGGCCACGUGAACAUUAGGAUCCAGGGGCCCAGUGAGAAGGGGAUAGUUGGCCUUCUGUCUUUUGGUUGGGGAAGGACUCUUCUCUUGAGUCUUUCUUUUUGGUUUACUUUUGCCAACCGGUGGAUCCAUCGGCUUAGCGUCAAUCGUAGAUUCCACGUUGUCAGUAAUUUUCAUGGCAGAUUUUGUUGACGCUGGGGGGACGAUCGUGAGGGGGGAUUUGGGUUGGGGAACGACGGAGGAGGUACUCAUUCCGGUGGCAGUAAGCAGCUUUCGGCGAGCCAUCAAACUGGAGAAUGCUUCAUGUUGCUCCAUCCCGUUGAAGAGAUCUGAAAAGAAAACACAAAUUUAGACAUGUUAAUAUUCAUUGAACAAUGGCCAAAGGAAGAGAAGUAGACUUACCAAACACUCUGUCCGGUAGAGUGUCUUGUCCAAGCAAAUUUAUAAUUUGGCGGGAUGAGGUCUUUCGGGGUAGAAUGUCAAUUAGGCGGACCACCUCCAAUUCCUCUUCGGUCAUCUCUGUUGUAGCCCAAGAGUCAAUCCGAUUGGGCUCUUCGGUCCAAUAGAAAGGGAAUUUGGGGGUAUCAUCAUCAAAGAAGUAUUUCGGCCGAGCCAGCUCUAGAAGGGCUAUCUUACAGAAUUUGUUUUUGAAGUCUUUGUACGAGGAGUUGAAAGAAGUAAACAAUUGCUUAUCUUUUACGGGUAGCAACGAUAUCCAAGAUCGGUUAGAAUGCGGAAAUGCCCGGAAAAAAUAUAAAAAGGCAGCAGGAGUUGGAGUUAGUUGUAGGCCGGCACAUAUUAUGUAGAAGGCCUGCAUAAAUGCCCAGCCGUUCAGAUGCAGCUAGGCAGGGCAAAUGUUUAACUCUCUCAACACACCCAUUUGGAAGUCAGAAAAGAGAAGUCUUACCCCUAGAUCACGAAACAAUGUGACAUAUGUAUAGAAAAAAUCUAGUUCAUAUCCCUCGCGACCGUGGCAUGCUCGCUCGUUUAAACGGCAUACGACAAAAGAAUAAUCAUCAACAUCAUUGAAACUACGUAAAAUACCUACCUGUUCUAGCAUGUACCGAAGGGAAGCGGUGGAAACAUAGUAAGGAAGACAAUUUCGCACCUCGAAAUGGGUCCACUCAUAUCCUUGUACAAGAGGAGAGGGGUCAGGGGAAGUCCACAUACGAGAGUUAUCAACGUUAAACUCUACUUCUAUGGAAUAGCCGGACGAGCUAGACGAAGACACCGAAGAAGACCUUGAUGAAGACAAUUCGGCUGCCUCAUUGUCAUUGUACCCCCGACCUUCAUCCCGUGAUCCACGACUCGAUCGAGAAGAAACUGACAUUACCUUGUUAAAGAAAAACACUACGGAUGAUCGGGUGUGAGUGGUGAACGAUCGAUAAGGCACUGCACAGGCGGGAAGGAAGACACAGAAUGACAAGGGCCCUUCAUCUAUUUAUAGCCUUGAAAAACGGUUUCAUGAGGUCAUCGUGGCCGUCCAUUACCCUUGGAUCCUAAGGCGGAGAAAGAGUGUCGUUUCAUGUCACCCUUCGGAUUUGAUGAAUUAAUCUGGAUCGUUAGAUCGAAAGGUAAUCGUAAGGUCUCGAUACGCCAAAGCUGGUCGGUGGCACUUAAACCCCUUCGCUUAUCGUAACGUUUGGGGCUUGGGGGGCUUAUGUAAGGUAAGGGGAAGGUCGGUCGGACAAGUUUGGAAGGGAGUGAAGCCAUAAGAGGAAGGGAUGGCAAAGGGAGGAAAGUAAGUGAGUAGCCUGUGGGGAAUGCAGAUAAACGACCGGGAAGUUUAUGAAGCCGGUCGGUAUGGACGUUGGGACGAACGGGAGUGUCAGUUGACAAGGCAAGCACCUGGAGGGAUCUCAUAUAUAUCACGGAUGCGGAUUUCUCGGCCAUGAUCGUAACGACGCUAAUUAGUUGGCGAGAAAUCCGGGAUUGAUAAAUCAGUUGUUAUAGGUAGUUAAUGACUUUUAACUGGCUGAGACCUAUAAAUACAGAGAUAUGCCAGGUAUAAUUUCCUUAAGUAAUACGUAUUGUGGUUAAUCUGAAGGUGACUUUGCUGACUUGAGCGUCGGAAUGCUAACUUGCAGGUCACGUCCGAUCGGUGGUGAAGCAGGGAAGUUCGGAGAGGAGAGGAGAAGGAGCAGCAGGGGUUG